RNAcentral lists this small nucleolar RNA (205 nucleotides) under Trifolium pratense (red clover). RNAcentral's name for it is "snoRNA Plant_U3". It matches the Rfam family "Plant small nucleolar RNA U3". From Rfam's summary of the family: Small nucleolar RNAs (snoRNAs) are involved in the processing and modification of rRNA in the nucleolus. The record is from RNAcentral. Lineage: Eukaryota; Viridiplantae; Streptophyta; Magnoliopsida; Fabales; Fabaceae.
AUGACCUUACUUGAACAGGAUCUGUUCUAUAGGAUCGUACUACUGUGUCCUUGAUUUCUAAGGAGACAGGAACAAAAAUCUGGAUGAUGAACUACGACCGUGUGAUCAGAGUGUGAUUAACGGCUUGGAUGAUUCUCAAUUUGAGAUAUCACCCNNNNGAUCAGUAAUAUCUGAUCUGGGUGGUCACAUGGUGUUCUUACAGAUU